AAAUUCCAACAAUGGGUAAAUCUCCAACAUGAAUAAUCCAAACAUAUAAUCUAGACCGACAUAAACAAACGCCUAGAUCAGAGCCAUCCUAGACUCUACUAAAUCGAUACCGGAGAUAGCUCCCGAUAUCCACCAAGCAUCAAUCAACUCAUCGGAGCAACUAAUCUUGCACAUUGUCUACCCAUCCAUACAGACAGGUAGGCGGUCCAUCACAGAUCCACUAGGGGUAAGUAUUAUAUCAAUCAUAAUUAACAUAAAC
Molecule: long non-coding RNA, 259 nt
Filed under: Medicago truncatula (barrel medic)
Lineage: Eukaryota; Viridiplantae; Streptophyta; Magnoliopsida; Fabales; Fabaceae
Description: long non-coding RNA (MTRU_LNC002768)
Source: RNAcentral